This 79-nucleotide small RNA is filed under the name Flavobacterium urumqiense. Its description in RNAcentral is "Flavo-1 RNA". It matches the Rfam family "Flavo-1 RNA". The record is from RNAcentral. Lineage: Bacteria; Pseudomonadati; Bacteroidota; Flavobacteriia; Flavobacteriales; Flavobacteriaceae.
UCCUAGCCCUGAUAGUAGUGAAAAUCCUUUUACUUUUUUCUUUAAAAGUAAAAGAUUGAAACGAAUAGCAGGAUUAGCU